Molecule: ribosomal RNA, 465 nt
Filed under: uncultured bacterium
Lineage: Bacteria
Description: partial 16S ribosomal RNA
Rfam family: Bacterial small subunit ribosomal RNA
Source: RNAcentral
GAUGAACGCUGGCGGCGUGCUUAACACAUGCAAGUCGAACGAUGAAGCCCAGCUUGCUGGGUGGAUUAGUGGCGAACGGGUGAGUAACACGUGAGUAACCUGCCCUUAACUCUGGGAUAAGCCUGGGAAACUGGGUCUAAUACCGGAUAGGAGCGUCCACCGCAUGGUGGGUGUUGGAAAGAUUUAUCGGUUUUGGAUGGACUCGCGGCCUAUCAGCUUGUUGGUGAGGUAAUGGCUCACCAAGGCGACGACGGGUAGCCGGCCUGAGAGGGUGACCGGCCACACUGGGACUGAGACACGGCCCAGACUCCGACGGGAGGCAGCAGUGGGGAAUAUUGCACAAUGGGCGCAAGCCUGAUGCAGCGACGCCGCGUGGGGGAUGACGGCCUUCGGGUUGUAAACCUCUUUCAGUAGGGAAGAAGCGAAAGUGACGGUACCUGCAGAAGAAGCACCGGCUAACUACGU